This 81-nucleotide transfer RNA is filed under the name Paragonimus westermani. Its description in RNAcentral is "tRNA-Asn". It matches the Rfam family "tRNA". Rfam says of the family: Transfer RNA (tRNA) molecules are approximately 80 nucleotides in length. Lineage: Eukaryota; Metazoa; Platyhelminthes; Trematoda; Plagiorchiida; Troglotrematidae. The record is from RNAcentral.
GGCUUCGUAGCUCAGCUGGUAGAGCGAUUGCCGCGUUGAGGCAUAUUAUGUCUAUCGCUGGUUCAAAACCAUCCGAAGCCC